Molecule: long non-coding RNA, 1274 nt
Organism: Homo sapiens (human)
Lineage: Eukaryota; Metazoa; Chordata; Mammalia; Primates; Hominidae
Product: long intergenic non-protein coding RNA 293
Source: Ensembl
CUUUUCUAAAGGGGACUGGUGAAUGUCUCAGUACCCAGGACCAGGUGGGUCUCCAGCCUGGUUUCUUCAGCCUGGUUUCUGCCCACAUAUUCAACUGUGACAUAUAUCUAAAGAAGCACCCAGGAAUCAAAUCCGAGUUCGUCUACAGCUGAUUCGGCAGGUACCAGGGCGUCCGCGAUGGUGAGUGAUAGCACCGCGAUGGUGGUAUUGCUCCAUAUGCCUGAGACCCUAACAAAAGCCUAAUUACAACUCAUAUGCCUGGAGCCAGGACAUGUGCAGGAUGACUCUGCCAAGAGAGGGGAUUAUUACAUAUUGCAGAGCCCAGCACCUAGGUGGAGUGACUCUCAUCUUUUUCUUCUACCCCGUAUAUAGCCAGCUUGGUGACCUACUAUUUGAGUCUAUACCCAGGCCCAGACCACAGAUGAAAUUGUGCAAUAUGUGGAACAAACACCUAAACAAUAUAUAACACCUUCCUUGGCUCUGUCUACAAAGGGCACUUUUAUAUAUCACUGGGACCAUCAACCAGGUGAUGUUGUGCCAUAUAACUGAGACCGUAUCAAAAGCCUAAUAACAAGACGUAUGUCUGGAGCCCCGAUAUGCACAGGAUGGUGAUAUAACCCUCUUCUCUGGAAUGGGCCCCACACAAAGGAAGGAUAGUGACAUAUUGCAAGCCCAGGCACACAGGCCCAGAGCACAGUUGAAAUUGUGACAUAUGUACACCAAGCAACCAAGCAAUGUAUAACACCUCAUUUGGCAAUGGAAUCGAGGGCACUUUUACAUAUCACUGAGACCAGCGCCCAGCUGAUGUGAAAUAUUGGCCUGAACCCUGCCUACAAAAGCAUUGUGGCUUUUAUCUAGCUCCAUUACAUAAGUGAUGUGACUUCCUUCUACUGCCUUGGCCCUGCACUUAUGGUGAAUCGUGACACAAAAUUGGGUAGAGCAACCAGCCUGGGCCCUGACCAGCACAGAGAUUGAGGCAUAUUGCUGAACCCAGGACCAAGAUGAAGUCACUCUCCUGCCUUGAUCCUGCACACAGGGACCCUUGUGACAUAUAUACAGGCCAAUUGCCUAGGUGAUGUUGUGCAAUAUACCUGAGACCAGAUCAAUGGCCUAAUAAUGACUCUUUUACCUAGAGCCAGGACAUGUGCAGGAUGGUAACUCUCAUCCCUGAACCUUUCCACAGGUGUUAUUGUCACAUAUACCUUUUCCAGCUCCAAAGUGAUUUAAUAAUCCAGCCUAGUUAUAGCCCACAGAUAAUAUUUGGACAUAUACCU